AGAGCGAACGCUGGCGGCAGGCCUAACACAUGCAAGUCGAGCGCCCGUAGCAAUACGGGAGCGGCAGACGGGAUAGUAACACGUGGGAACGCGCCCUUCGGUUCGGAAUAACUCAGGGAAACUUGAGCUAAUACCGGAUACGCCCUUACGGGGAAAGAUUUAUUGCCGAAGGAACGGCCCGCGUCCGAUUAGCUAGUUGGUGAGGUAAUGGCUCACCAAGGCGACGAUCGGUAGCUGGUCUGAGAGGAUGACCAGCAUCACUGGGACUGAGACACGGCCCAGACUCCUACGGGAGGCAGCAGUGGGGAAUAUGGACAAUGGGCGCAAGCCUGAUCCAGCCAUGCCGCGUGGAUGAUGAAGGCCCUAGGGUUGUAAAGUCCUUUUAACGGGGAAGUAUAAUGACGGUACCCGUAGAAUAAGCCCGGCUAACUUCGUGCCAGCAGCCGC
Molecule: ribosomal RNA, 447 nt
Filed under: uncultured bacterium
Lineage: Bacteria
Description: SSU rRNA
Rfam family: Bacterial small subunit ribosomal RNA
Source: RNAcentral